This 213-nucleotide unclassified non-coding RNA is filed under the name rhizosphere metagenome. RNAcentral describes it as "partial ribosomal RNA internal transcribed spacer region". The record is from RNAcentral.
GUAGGUGAACCUGCGGAAGGAUCAUUACAGAGUUCCUGCCCUUACGGGUAGAAACCCCACCCUUGUAUAUACUAUAUUGUUGCUUUGGCAGGCCGCCUCCCGGCGUCGGCUCACGCUGACUGUGCCUGCCAGAGGACCCUAAACUCUAUAAUACAGUGUCGUCUGAGUACUAUUUAAUAGUUAAAACUUUCAACAACGGAUCUCUUGGUUCUG